GAUCAUGGCUCAGGAUGAACGCUAGCUACAGGCUUAACACAUGCAAGUCGAGGGGCAGCAUGGUCUUAGCUUGCUAAGGCCGAUGGCGACCGGCGCACGGGUGAGUAACGCGUAUCCAACCUGCCUUACACGUCUUGGACAGCCUUCUGAAAAGGGAGAUUAAUACAAGAUGUUAUCAUGAGUAAGCAUUUUCGCAUGAUUAAAGGUUUACCCGGUGUAAGAUGGGGAUGCG
This 232-nucleotide ribosomal RNA is filed under the name uncultured bacterium. Its description in RNAcentral is "partial 16S ribosomal RNA". It matches the Rfam family "Bacterial small subunit ribosomal RNA", at positions 15 to 235 of the family's 1533-position model. The record is from RNAcentral.